AAUGACAUCAGACUGGGCUUGUGCCUGAUAAUUCAUUUCUGAAGGUGCAAUAUUAAGUGUCACAGUGUCCAGCUGGUGAUAUUUUCAGCAUAGAAACCUGUUAGACACGGCAGCAUUAACGAGAUGGAAUGAAUUGAUUUAUUUCUCUUCUGAAUUGCUUGGCAGUGCUUCAAGAUUGACGCAUCAGAUUUGCACAAUGUGCCACUUUAGGAGAUUAUUUCUUCCUUCCUUCAGCCAGACAGAAGACUGCAGUAGGGAUAUGGUUCCUGUUUGCCUAUUUCCAUCCACAACUCUGCCAGAGACGAAAGCAGUGUUUGAAACAAUUCACCAAGAUUUCCAUCUGUAAUCAUCAAGAAUGGAACUGAUCAAAUUCCUUAAGAAAUUUACUUAAAGUCAUGAUUUUGACAGCCUAGUGCUAUCUGGAAAAGGGACAGCAGCAGCCUGGAGCAGUUUUCUAGCUAACAAGAAUUUUGUUAGCUAUGUGGCCACCUAGUGGCUCUUCCAUGGAUGUCGCUGAUGCGUUGUCAGGUACACAGACAAUUGCCCACUAAUAAAGAAGUUAUUAUCUUUCUUGGAA
This 577-nucleotide non-coding RNA is filed under the name Pan troglodytes (chimpanzee). The record is from RNAcentral. Lineage: Eukaryota; Metazoa; Chordata; Mammalia; Primates; Hominidae.